CUUGGCUUUCCCAUCUCUUUCCACUACAUACUUGUCUUCCCAGCUUUCCUUGAACUAGGGGAGUCUGCCAGGAGGUUUCUGGGGAAGUUUUGCUUUUGGAUAAAAGAAACAAGGGCACUGAGGAAAACCUCUUCUCCUCCUGCCUCCAGCUUCAGACACGUAAGUGCAGACAUGAUAGCUGAAGCUGGGACAGCCAGUUUGGGUUAUAAUGGGGCAAAUACAAGGACCAAAGACAACGCAGUGAGGAGGGCAGAGAGGAAGGAAGGGAAGAGAGUGGGAUCUGGCUGACAUUGAUGAUCAUCGUUGUAGCGCUGUUUUAAGCCCAUCAUUUCACUCAUCCAACAAAUGCUUAUUGAGCAUUUCUUCUGUGCCAGUCACCAUGUGAGACAUUGUGAGACAAACAAGGCUGAACAAACUACCCAGGUCCCAGAACUCACGGAGUUUAUAGUCUGGUGGGGCAGCCAGACACCACAAUUCACACCAGCAACUAUCUGAUCAGAGCGAUGACGAGAACUGCAAAGCCAAAUCCAGUGUGCCGUGGAAGCACCGGAAGUCCAGGGAGGGCCAAGUCCACCCAGCAUCACCACACCAAAGAGCAGCUCUUUAGAGUCCUGCUAAAGCUCAAAAACAUGAAACCACAACGAGGAUUUCUUGCGUGCUUGCUCUGGACCCAGCACUGUUCUAAGCACUCAUGGAUCCUUCCAUUUGAUCCUCACAACAGCCAUGUCUUCCUCUGCCUCUAACUGAGGCUCUGCUACGUGCCAUGUCCCUGACCCACCAAUGCACCUCUACUACAGUCAUCUUAGGAGAUGAUUAAUGUUAUCCCCAUUAGAGAACCCCAGAAGAAGAUUUUUUGUUUGUUUUUUGUUUUUUUGUUUUGUUUUGUUUUUUUGAGAUAGAGUCUUGUUCUGCUGCCCAAGCUGGAGUGGCAGUGGCAUGAUCUCAGCUUAAUGCAACCUCUACCUCCCAGGUUCAAGUGAGUCUCAUGCCUCAGCCUCCCAAGUAGCUGGAAUUACAGGCGUGUGCCAUCAUGCCUGGCUAAUUUUUGUAUUUUUAGUAGAGACGGGGUUUUGCCAUGUUGGCCAGGCUGGUCUCGAACUCCUAAUCUCAAGUUAUCUGCCCGCCUCAGCCUCCCAAAGUGCUGGGAUUACAGGCAUGAGCCACUGCACCCAGCCUGGGAGAGGGGUUUUGUUUCCUCAGAGCACUUGUUUCUUUUCUCAGAAAGCAAAUUUUUCUUUUCUUUCUUUCUUUUUUUUUCUGGAGCCUUCCAGCAGACUUCAGUAGCUCAUUUUACAGAUAAAACAUGUGAAGCUCAGAGAGGGGUAAUGAUUUGACUCACAAGACCACACAGUUUUUUGUUUUGUUUUUUUUUUAAAUAAGUAGAUCUAGGAUGCUAACCCAGGUGUAUUUUAUCAAAAAUAUCAAAUCAGGGUCUUUCAGCCACUCUCACACACAUACACAUAGGCACACAUCCACUGCAGUGAAUGUUCCACUGCCCCAGGACAAAAGUGCUCAUUUUUUGUGGAUGUACUGCAAGGUCACUGGAGUUCUCCUUUCUCUGUCCAGCCAUAUCUGUGGCCUAGAGCAGAGGGCCAGCAACAGCUGGAUUGUGUCAAGUCUCGAGUCAGAUGACAUUUUGUUUGUUUGUGUUUUUUUUUUUUAAUCUUGAACCUUAGUUUUUUCUUCUGUCCUUGGAGAUUACAAUAUUAUUUAUCUCAGACAGCCGUUUGGAAAAUGAAACAGCUGUCUGAGAGAUAAUAGUAGAACAUUCACUAACCCAUUCAUCCAUCCAUUCACCCACCUACCUGUCGAUAGAAGCAACCAUUCUAAUAAUUGCUGAAUGUUUGCUAUAUAAUGAGUAUGACACAGGAGCAGAGAUGAAGAGACAUGAGGACAUCCUACAAGGUGCAGAGACGUGGGAGACAGUGAAAGGCUGUCAGGUUAUAUUAUUGUAUCAUCCUUUAAGAGACACUGUGGGGCCUUCUGUUCACCCCUAGCUUAGCCUUAUGACCUGGGCUGUCCUUCCCCAGAAGCUGUCUGGCCCCUUUGAGAGACAAUGUCUUCCCCUAGCCACAGGUUCAACCAAGUCAUCCAUUGGCAUCUAUACUCCAGGUCUUAAAAUUGUGGAUUAAGGGUGGCCUCACCCUUAAUCUCCUCUAUGCUAUCUCCUCUAAUCUCCCCGCUCUCUGGGAGAUAGGUCCUGUUGUUAUCUUCAUUUUACAGAUGAGGAAAUAGGUUCAGAGAGGGGAAAUGUCUUGCCCAAGGUCACACAGCUGGUGUGUGGGAUGGGUUCCCAGGCUGUUGGUUUCUUCAGCCUCUGCCAUUUCCAGUGCAUCACAUAUUCCUGUUUGAUGGGGGUCAAAGCAAAGAAGAUUCUCCCUGACUAGAGUCAGGAGAUCAGGCCCUGAUUCUGUCAUUCCCUGGCCCUCUGUCCUCAGCAAUUGAUGACAUAAAUGUUGAUUGUGUCUUUGCAAUGCACGUGGUAUCAAGGGCUUUACACCCUUGUUCCCCACGGCAUCCACCAUGAUCUUAAGACACAUCCUAGUCCUGUCUCCACUUCAGAAAGAAAGCAAGAGGCACGUGAAUGUUGAGCCGUGUGACAGAGUCACAACUAGACCCCGAGGUCUACUGGAUUCCAGAGACCAAGUUCUGUGCGGGUGUGUGAUUUGAACAGGUUUAUAAAAGGCACCCAACUUUUAAAAAAUCCAAAAUGUGUCCCCAAAAGAUAAAACAAACAUUCUCUUGAAUUUCCCUCCUCAGAAACAAACCUGUCACCAAUUUUAUUGUGUCAUUCCAUGAAUUUUCUAUGCGUGGAAUGUACACGUAUACGCGUGUGUACAUAUAUACAUCUAUAUCCGUUUCGCUAUCAGCAACUACACAGUUCUUCAGUGUACCGUUUUCACUUAAUUUAACUGAGAGGUUCUUCCCUGUCACACACAGAUGUGCGUUGUUUCCUUGAACAAUGGGAUAGCAUUCCACUGUAAAGACGUCUCACGCUUUAUUUACCCGUCUUCCCUCUGCUGAGGGACAUUGGGUUGCUUCCAAUGUGGGGGUCACCCUAAGGAGUGAGCCUGAGCCUUUCACUCUCAGUAACACAUGCUUUCUAGCCCUGCAUCUGAGUUUCACACGUCCGCACAAGAUAUUCUCAUUUUCCAACGCUCCACCCUGCGCGGCGCUUUCUACCUCCUCCCCAUUAUCCAGAGCCAACGGGAGCGACAGAGCUGCCCGGUCCCACGCCCAGCUUGAUAAUGCACCAGCAACGUGACCUAGGCCCAGCAAGCCUCUCUUGGUGGACCUCAAUUUGCCCCGCAUCGAAACAGGACGGUGCUUCCAAGCCCCACCCUCUGUGGGGUUUUGGAAAGACCCCUGAGAUGCAUUCCCAGGAAGGCCUCUGGACAGACAAAAUGAGCCAAGCCUCUGCCCCAGGGCUUCUCGGCCCCUCCCAGCACUUCUCGCACCAAGCAGGCCAUGCCCCGGCUUGGGAGCUUAGGGAAGCAGUCACAUUGCCUCCGUGGGGCUUCCUGCCCUUCCAGAGGAGCUCCAGGAGUCGCUUUGGGCCCGUAAGAAACACACGGGGAGGUGUCCCAUGGCCUCCCAAAGCUGACCGCAGUCCCGCCCUGUCCAGUCUUCCCCCAGCCCCACUUACCGUAAGAACUCUCCACUGGAGCCCCGAGGGGCGCGUUCACGCUGACCAUGGCCAAGCCCACCCAGCCGGAGAGCUGGGGGCAUGGAGGAGCAGGGGCCCGCUCACAGCAGCAGCACAGCCACCAGGAGCCCGUCCACCAGGAAGGCGUUCUGAGAGCCGAGGAAGCAGGAAGGAGCUGUGAGAGACUGAGCUCUAACCUUGGCCAUCAAAGACAAGCUGUGCAGCUCUGGUUUUUUGAGGGCAGGACAUGGAGGGUCAGGCCCAGCUGGAGGCGCACCAAAGCCCAGAGAAAAUUCAGAACCACGUGAGCUUGUUGGAUUUCAGCCCCUUGAAGCACAUGUUGCUAUUGCAGCUGCCUUGAUAACUGGGGGGACAGGAGGAGCACGGCUUUCCCAUCUUGUACGGGGACUCGCCAAUCCAGUUGCCCCUGGAAGAGAAAAGGACCCAGGGAGACAGAGGAGCAUUAGAUAGAGUUUCACUCUUGUCAUCCAGGCUGGCAGGAUCUCGGCUCACUGCAACCUCGGCCUCCCAGGUUCAAGCGAUUCUCCUGCCUCCACCUCUCAAGUAGCUUGGGAUUACAGGCGCUCAUCACCACACCUAGCUA
Molecule: long non-coding RNA, 4250 nt
Filed under: Pan troglodytes (chimpanzee)
Lineage: Eukaryota; Metazoa; Chordata; Mammalia; Primates; Hominidae
Description: long non-coding RNA NONPTRT009249
Source: RNAcentral